Molecule: transfer RNA, 6430 nt
Filed under: Sus scrofa (pig)
Lineage: Eukaryota; Metazoa; Chordata; Mammalia; Artiodactyla; Suidae
Description: lncRNA (ENSSSCG00030015202.1)
Source: RNAcentral
GGGGCCAGGAUCCACCAGGCGGCUGGCUUGCGGUGUGCUUGCACGCCUGAACCCACCCAUCCAUCCACCCAUCCACCCACCCAUCCAUCCAUCCAUCCAUCCAUCCAUCCAUCCAUCCAUCCAUCCUUGCAUCCAACAUUUACUCAGCGCAUCCUCUGUGCCAGGUGGGGAUGCUCGUAUUAAACUGCCAGAGGACGCAUCCCCUAAACCAAGGAGACCAGGGCCCCCUGAGAAGCCUUGGGGGGAUCCGGUCCCAAGAGGUGGGGAGGGGGCUCCCGCCAGGACCUCUCGGGAGGGGGUGGUGGGUGGGUCCGAGGGGCUGCCAGCCAGCGCAUGCUCAGAUCUGUCACCCCUUCCCGCGCUCACCAGAGCGCCUACCUGUGUGCCCAUUCGCUGGUCUCUUUUGUUGCCUGUGGUAACCCCACAGUUCCUGGCACGUAGUAGACCCUCAAAUAAGUGUGAUGAAUGAAUGAAGCGUGAGCCUACCAUAUUCUCCAGGUUAGAAAGGACGCAGCGGGGCUGGGGAGGAGUGGCGGCCUCCCCUCCUGGAGAGAGGACACCGGCUGAGCCCAGCAAGAGGACCCCUUGUUAGGACAGCUCGGAGAAGCUGGCCUUGUGGGACCAAACCUGCUCUUCGAGACGGAAGCUUGCAGGGGUCUAGCGAGGAGGAGGCGCCCGCCACGCAGAGAGCGCUUCCCUGGCGAGCAGGCCCCUGCACUUCUCUUCCUCCCCAAUAUUUGGGGAAUGGGAGUUUCACGCCCAGAAAACCCGGUGCUGGUCCCUGUAGCCACUCUAGCCUGCCGUGGGUCCCCGCUGGCCUUGUUGCUGGUCACCUCCCAGAACUUUGGGGUAUAGUGUUGACAACAUUGGCCCGGCUUCCAAGGAGAGGCCGCGGGAAGACCACUCUCUGUCACUGCCCAGCCCCACGCCUGGGCAAAGCCCCUCCUCCACACACAAGCACCGGUGUCUGUGUAGCGCAUCGUCCUGAGGAUCUGAGAUGUCACCAGGUUUCAUGUGCGGACAACGACAGUGUGAAGGUCAACAUCUGAUCUCAGGAUUCCUAAAGGCCACAGCGCCGCUUGUUGGUUGUCAAUUUUCUACUGUACAGCAAGGACCCAGUCACACAUACAGGCCUGCAGAAGUUGCCCGGCCGGGAUCCAGCCCCGCCCAGCAGCACAAUGCACCAUAGGGGCAGCAAGGCUGGAUCCUUAACCCCCUGCACCACUAGGUAACUCCCAUGAACUGCACUUCUGAACGAUGGCUGUACCUCUGAACCGCAAGGAGCUCUGCGAUCCUUUACCCAGAUGCCCAGCUUCUUGUUCUCCAAACCCUGAAAAGUCACCGUGUUCUUUAGUUUUGAGAUGGUUGCCUUCAGCCGAAGUUGACUUUUAAAACUUGAAUAAGACCUGAAAUUGUCUUCAAGAAUCUCACAACCUAAACUUACACUUCUGUGUGUGGAUAUUUCGGCCUCUGCAAAGCUUCUCAGCCCCGUGAGGGCUCACUCCUUGCAGCCACGGACCCUGGGGGUUUGGCUACAAAACAGAAUCCAGUGCUGCCCCAUCCCACAGAGAAUGACUGGGCUGAGCAGGGGGAAACAAGGGACACUAAGAAACGCUGACCCAGCAGUUGCUCCUGGAAGAAGCCAUUAAGGUCAAGGCAGAAAUAAUGGCCACUUCAACAGGAACAGGAGAUGCAGAACACAAGAGGCUGGGCCAGCAGGGCUGGGCUGAGUUUACCUGGGUCUGAGCAGCCUUCCUAGAAGCCUUGCUAGAGCCAGUUCUCAACUUAGCUGCAGACCAGGGGCUCUGGGGAGUGGGGACGGUCCCUGGGCUCCAGCCCAAACACGCUGAGCUCAUUGGUCUGGGGUGGGGCCUGGGAAAGGGCACUUUCAUAGACUCUUCAGGUGCUUCUCAUUGACAUUUAGAACUAAGAACCGCAACAACCAUAGUAAAGCUUCACCAUUUGCUGGUUCCAGAAAAAACAAAACAAAACAACAAAAUUUUAUGUUGUGCCUCAUAAAGAAGUUGAAAUGCAGCAUGAAUUACAAAGGUCAAGAAUCAGGAAAAAUAGGGGGCACCCAGACUUGAACUGGGGACCUCUUGAUCUGCAGUCAAAUGCUCUACCACUGAGCUAUACCCCCUUCUGCUAUAUGUGGUGACAAUUAAUACUGUUCAUCAGUCUAGCCACGCCCAGGCUGCCUGUAAAUCUAAGAGCCGCCACUUCAGGAAGGACCUCUUUUGGGAACUGGCAAACCACUCUUCAGCCUGCCACCUAAGAAGCAACAAGCUCUGUCCUCAAAAGCCCUGCAGCCUGUGUCCACCCACCCCGCCCCAGCCAAGGGCCCCAGGGUGUGAGCAGCAGCCGGGAGAAGCCUUGACGUUGGCUGUAGAAUGGCCUUCAGAGUCAGAGGCCUGGCUCCAUCAUGGUGGGCACCUAAAAAACAGACACUGCCGGUGACUGAGAUGUCUGUGCAAACCCAUUUAAUGAGGCCUGACUCUCAUGGGCCGACCGUCGGUUCAGGGCACUUUCUGCUAAACUACAGUCUGGGACAAAAAUGACCCUCCACUUCUGCAGUUACUAGAGAUGGAGAAUCAUGGAGGUGAUCCACUCCUAGGAACCGUCAGGAGUAGGCGGCUGAGUGAAUUUAGGAAUCAUCCAAAUUAUCCCUGAGCUAACAUGAUGCAAGGACCAGGCCAUGCUGCUGGAGAGGAACCAUACUGAGCCCCGGGGCCCUCUGAUCCGUGGGCAAAUCUGUCUGCACACUCACGCCAAGACCCUGCUUCUGCUCUUGUCCAGGAAGCUGGGAACCUUCUCUUUGGAAAACCGAUGUUGGGAGCUCUCCCUCUCACCCCCCAGCUUCUCCCUCGGGGCCUCGGCAGCCCAGCAGUUGCUUCUCCUCCUCCCCUGGCUGAGAAGCUGGGAGAGGCUGACCUUGACCGUGAUGCUGAGGUGGAAGGAGACCCGGGGCAGGGCUCUGCGGGAGACGCCAGCCUUUGCUCUGCCCACUAACAGACUUAGAAGGCCCGCAACUGGGAGAAAGAGCGGCCACCAGAGGAAAAGGCAACAAGGGGAGCCCUGGAGGAGACUUGUGGGUGACUGGGGGGGAGGUGGGGGGGGCAGGCAGGGAGGAGGGACCCGGCCUGGAACCCCAGCUGGGUGAGGCCCACAGAGCCCCUACCUGCACUGCUCUCUCCCCAGACACGCCUCGGCCCUAAGAUCUAAGUGACAGCGAAGCAGGUGCCUCCCAGCCACAGCAGGCCCUCCACCCCUGAGCCUCUGUAGAAGUCUUUCCUGCCGCCUGAAAUGCCCUCCUUCCCGGCCCUCGAGGACCAGGCCCUGCACCCAGGAGGCUUCUCAUUGGCUUCCUUCCUCUGCACCAGGCGCGGGCGGUCUGCUUCCGCAUCAAAACUACUCAGCCUCCCUGGCCACAAGUUUCUAGGGGAGCCGCAGGGUCAGGCCCCGCCCCCCCCCCCGCCCCCGUCCCCACCUUGAUUCCAUUCUCUUAACACUAAGAGGAGGUCACAGAGGGUGGUCCUUCUCUGUCCUUGGCCUUGGAGUCCUCAGACACAUAGGGGCUAUUGGUUCAAACCCAGUGAGCUUAACACAGAUUCGGGGAGUUUAUUCCAUAAUGUGGCGGGGGUUUUUGUUUGUUUGUUUGUUUUGUCUUUUUAGGGCUGCACCUGUGACAUAUGGAGGUUCCCAGGCUAGGGGUUGAAUCGGAGCUGGAGCUGCUGGCCUGCACCACAGUCUCAGCAACUCUGUAUCCUAGCUGCGUCUGCAACCUACACCACAGAUCACUGCAAUGCCGGAUCCUUAACCCACUGAGUGAGGCCAGGGAUCGAACCUGCACCCUCAUGGAUACUAGUCGGGCUGGUUAACCACUGAGCCACAACAGGAACUCCCAUUCCAUAACUUGGGCUUUGUAGGGAGACUUCUUUAGAGACCGGAAGGAAAUUCAAGCAGCACAAGCAGUCCAGUGACCUUUCCUUGAGAGAAUCAGCCUCCACCCAAUCCCAGCGCCUCUGCCCCUGGGAACAGAGAGACAAGCACCUCUCUGCUCCGGUGGUUCGUGACCUUCUCCAGAGGACGUGGGCCCUGGCGCUUCCUGUCCACUGGAAGAAGAGCUCAGCAUCUGCUGAGUCCAAAAUCAUGGCCUUUCAAAGACACUCCCUGAAACAGCAGUUGAACAAGAAAAGGACUCGCACAGCCACCAUCUGUCUGUUGACCUGAGGCACCUUGAAGAGAUCCUGCCCAAGCUCUUUGGAGACACGUGCAGGACCUACACCUGAAGUGUCUAGCCCAACCCUAAGCAUGAAAGUUGGUUUGCAAUAACUAUUUGUUGGAUGGAAGGAAAGAGAGAAAAACUAGCAAAGACAUUUUUGUCUGGGGUAAAUGCAAAUUACCUCAGGUACCACCAGCCACGUGAACACUGCUGCUGUUUAUCCAAACUUGUGCGAGUACGUUCUCCCGCGUUUGGGUUGGAGCCCUUCCUCCUGGAGGUGAGCCAGUUCACAGCUCAAGACGCUCUCUCACGGUCAUUCUCCCUCACGGGUCUUCUGGCUCCUUCGAAAUGUUCCCUCUCUUGCUGAAAAGUAAAAAAAGCCAGGAAGGAAUCGGAGAAAUGCUCGAUUAAAGUUUCUCUUGUUUGGAGUUCCCGUCGUGGCUCAGCGGUCACGAACCCGACUAGCAUCCACGAGGACAUGGUUCUGAGCCCUAGCCCUGCUCAGCCGGUGAAGUACCCGGCGUUGCCGUGAGCUGCGGUGUAGGUCGCAGAGGCGGUUCUGAUUCCCUGCGGCUAUGGCUGUGGUGGAGGCCGGCAGCUGCAGCUCCGAUUUGACCCCUAGCCUGGGAAUCUCCACGGGUGCGCCCUAAAAAAAGACAAAAAUAAUAAUAAUAAAACAUUUUAAAGCUUCCCUGAAAGACGUUGCAGGGGACCUAAGCAAAGGGCACGCUUUUAGGUGGUCCCCCAAACUAACAACUUCACAGCAAUGUCGAUGCUCCUGGAUUGGCCUAGAGAUUUAACGCAAUUCCAGUCAAAAUCCCAGUUAGGAUUUUUAUCGUCUUUGACAUGCUAACGCAAAAAGUUAUGUGGGAGGAGUCCCCUGGUGGCUUAGUGGUUGAGGACCCAGUGUUGUCACUGCUGGGGCACAGGUUCAAUCCCUGACACAGGAAAUUCCGCAUGCUGCAAGUACCGGCCAAAAAGAAAAGUUAUGUAGGAAAAGGAAGAGCUGGGAAUAGCUAGUGUUUUCCUGAAGAACAAGAGCUGGGCAAAGAAACUAGUGCUAUCAGAUGUGAAGACAUAAAAUCGGUAAGAUGGUGUUGUAUUGGCACGAGGAUAGACACACAAGACCGAUAGAGCAGAAUCGGACCAGAAAUGGACCUCUCCAUAGAGAGAAACUGAUAAACGAGAGAGCUGGCAUUGUAGCACAAUGGAGAAAGAGCAGGUUUUUUGAUAAAUGGUGCUAAGACAAUUGGAUGGCCAUACACAAAGUAAAUUCUGGAAGGAUUUAAGACUUAAGUAUAAGAGACCAAUCUGCAAACUUUUAAAAGAAAAAGUAACAGAAAACCCUUAUGACCUUGGAAUAAGAGAAGGAUUGCUUAAUUAAGACGUACGUAAAUACGAUGAAGAAAAGGAUUGGUCGAUUCUAGUUUGUUGACAGUAGGAAUUUCUGUGUACUGAGAGUCUCCAGAAAGAAAGCGAAAGGGAGAGUCAUAGAUCAGAAGACGGAUGUCAAUCGUUAUGUCAGCCCAGGAAUAGUCGGAAAACAGAAAGCACUCUAGGCUGUUCAGCAGAGAGAAUGUGAUACAGGCGAUUGGUUAACUAGGUUUAGGAGAAGUAACACAGCAGAAAGAGAGCCUCGAGACAGUGCAGAGAUAAUAACCAGGAAGCAGCUGCCCUAGUGCUAAGAGAAUAACUGAAGAGGUUGCAGGAGGCUUGGAGGGGGGCCCUCUAACGUGUUGGGACUCCAGCUUGUGGGGCAAGAGCACCGCCCAGCUGGUGCUGGUACCCUGGGAACACAGAAGGCUGGUCUCCCAGAGAAGUACUGAAAAUAAGGCUGGUUCUAGGCCUGCCAAACAAAAGUGUGGGCAUUUAAACCAGUGCCAUCCAGGUGGAGGAUCAUGGCUGGGGUCCCCUGACAAGAGCGGGCAGAACAAAGCACGUUCUGGUCUGCUUUUGUCAUCAUAGACCACUUCGCAUUUUCUUGUUGGUUAUAAAAAUGGAAUGAGACAUCACGCACUCUUUUUCUCUGCCUCCUUUCACUCAGCCUGUUUUCAGAUUUGUCCAUAUUGCUGCAUAUGUAUCAUUUCUUUUUAUUGCUCGGUAGUGCUCUCUCUGUUCAGUUUUGUGUACCCACCCGCUAUUCACCUGUUUAUAGUCAUUUAUUUGAUUUCCAGUGUUUGGCUAUUGCUAAUAAAGCUGCUAUGACAC